ACUGGGGUGGCAGAGCAUGGUUAAUUGCGAAAGGCCUAAGCCCUUUUACCCAGAGGUUCAAAUCCUCUCCCCAGUU
RNAcentral lists this transfer RNA (76 nucleotides) under Crossocheilus reticulatus (silver flying fox). RNAcentral's name for it is "tRNA-Leu". It matches the Rfam family "tRNA". From Rfam's summary of the family: Transfer RNA (tRNA) molecules are approximately 80 nucleotides in length. Their secondary structure includes four short double-helical elements and three loops (D, anti-codon, and T loops). RNAcentral also lists the same sequence under 5 other names. The record is from RNAcentral. Lineage: Eukaryota; Metazoa; Chordata; Actinopteri; Cypriniformes; Cyprinidae.